GCCCUUCCUCUCGGUCCCAUAUUGAACUCGAGUUGGAAGAGGCGAGUCCGGUCUCAAA
This 58-nucleotide microRNA precursor is filed under the name Cebus imitator (Panamanian white-faced capuchin). RNAcentral's name for it is "miRNA (ENSCCAG00000019818.1)". Lineage: Eukaryota; Metazoa; Chordata; Mammalia; Primates; Cebidae. The record is from RNAcentral.